Molecule: ribosomal RNA, 253 nt
Filed under: uncultured bacterium
Lineage: Bacteria
Description: partial 16S ribosomal RNA
Rfam family: Bacterial small subunit ribosomal RNA
Source: RNAcentral
UACGGGGGGGGCAAGCGUUGUUCGGAAUUACUGGGCGUAAAGGGCGCGUAGGCGGUUAGCUAAGUUGAAUGUGAAAACUCUGGGCUUAACCCAGAGCCUGCAUUCAAUACUGGCGGGCUAGAGUUCUGGAGGGGAUAGCGGAAUUCCUGGUGUAGCGGUGAAAUGCGUAGAUAUCAGGAGGAACACCGGUGGCGAAGGCGGCUAUCUGGACAGAGUCUGACGCUGAGGCGCGAAAGCUAGGGGAGCAAACAGG